RNAcentral lists this ribosomal RNA (443 nucleotides) under Asperspina sp. ZSM DNA AB34402007. Its description in RNAcentral is "partial 16S ribosomal RNA". The record is from RNAcentral. Lineage: Eukaryota; Metazoa; Mollusca; Gastropoda; Acochlidiacea; Asperspinidae.
AGCUUGAAGUAAAUUUAUUUUAGGUUAGUCCUGCUCACUGAUUUAGUUAAAGAGCCGCAGUAAUUUAACUGUGCAAAGGUAGCGUAAUCAUUAGUUUUUUAAUUGAGGACUUGUAUCAAGGGAUUUUUCUCUUUUAGCUGUGUCUGCUAAAUUUUUAUGAAUUUAUAUUUAUAAGGUGAAAAUUCCUUUUUAAAAAGAAAAGACGAGAAGACCCCAGGAGCUUAUUUUAUUUUUUAUAUACUAAAAGUAAGAUUUUGUUGGGGCAACAAAUAAUGUUAACAUUAAUUUAUUUAUAUUAUAUGUCUUUAUUAUUAGUAAAAUUUAAGUUACCCUGGGGAUAACAGCAUAAUUUUAUAUUGAGUUUGUGACCUCGAUGUUGGACUAGGUAAUUUUUGGUUCAGAAAGCUAGAAAGAAAGUUCUGUUCGAACUGUGAUACCUACAU